This 468-nucleotide ribosomal RNA is filed under the name uncultured bacterium. Its description in RNAcentral is "partial 16S ribosomal RNA". It matches the Rfam family "Bacterial small subunit ribosomal RNA", at positions 28 to 507 of the family's 1533-position model. The record is from RNAcentral.
GACGAACGCUGGCGGCGUGCUUAACACAUGCAAGUCGAACGGAAAGGCCCUGCUUUUGUGGGGUGCUCGAGUGGCGAACGGGUGAGUAACACGUGAGUAACCUGCCCUUGACUUUGGGAUAACUUCAGGAAACUGGGGCUAAUACCGGAUAGGAGCUCCUGCUGCAUGGUGGGGGUUGGAAAGUUUCGGCGGUUGGGGAUGGGCUCGCGGCUUAUCAGCUUGUUGGUGGGGUAGUGGCUUACCAAGGCUUUGACGGGUAGCCGGCCUGAGAGGGUGACCGGCCACAUUGGGACUGAGAUACGGCCCAGACUCCUACGGGAGGCAGCAGUGGGGAAUAUUGCACAAUGGGCGGAAGCUUGAUGCAGCAACGCCGCGUGCGGGAUGACGGCCUUCGGGUUGUAAACCGCUUUCGCCUGUGACGAAGCGUGAGUGACGGUAAUGGGUAAAGAAGCACCGGCUAACUACGUG